GGUCAUGAGUGCCAGCGCUAAGCCCGGGUUUGCUGGCCGGCAACCCUCCUACCGCGGUGGGGUGCCCCCGGUGAGGACCUGGCCUGGCGCGCAGGGCGCCCGGCAAGCGCGGGCU
Regulatory RNA element from Saccharothrix sp. ALI-22-I, 115 nucleotides. It matches the Rfam family "SAM (S-adenosyl methionine) riboswitch aptamer". From Rfam's summary of the family: SAM-IV is a mRNA element that regulates gene expression via direct sensing of S-adenosylmethionine (SAM or AdoMet). NCBI's taxonomy places the organism in Bacteria, Bacillati, Actinomycetota, Actinomycetes, Pseudonocardiales, Pseudonocardiaceae. The record is from Rfam.